UUUGACCUGAAAUCAGGUAGGGCUACCCGCUGAACUUAA
This 39-nucleotide ribosomal RNA is filed under the name Papiliotrema flavescens. RNAcentral's name for it is "partial 26S rRNA". The record is from RNAcentral. Lineage: Eukaryota; Fungi; Basidiomycota; Tremellomycetes; Tremellales; Rhynchogastremaceae.